RNAcentral lists this unclassified non-coding RNA (402 nucleotides) under soil metagenome. RNAcentral describes it as "partial contains 5.8S ribosomal RNA, internal transcribed spacer 2, and large subunit ribosomal RNA". The stretch from base 1 to 121 matches the Rfam family "5.8S ribosomal RNA", at positions 35 to 154 of the family's 154-position model. The record is from RNAcentral.
GAUGAAGAACGUAGCGAAAUGCGAUAAGUAAUGUGAAUUGCAGAAUUCAGUGAAUCAUCGAAUCUUUGAACGCACCUUGCGCCCUUUGGCUAUUCUGAAGGGCAUGCCUGUUUGAGUAUCAUGAACACCUCAACUCUCAUGGUUUGCCAUAAUGAGCUUGGACUUUGGGGGUCUUGCUGGCCUACGGUCAGCUCCUCUCAAAUGAAUCAGCUUGCCAGUGUUUGGUAGAGUCGCAGGUGUGAUAACUAUCUACGCUUGUGGUUUUCUGCCAGAUAACCUUCAGUGAUGGAGGUUCGCUGGAGCUUAUAAAUGUCUCUCCCCAGUGAGGACAGCUUUUUGAACGUUUGAUCUCAAAUCAGGUAGGACUACCCGCUGAACUUAAGCAUAUCAAUAAGCGGAGGA